Molecule: ribosomal RNA, 497 nt
Filed under: uncultured bacterium
Lineage: Bacteria
Description: partial 16S ribosomal RNA
Rfam family: Bacterial small subunit ribosomal RNA
Source: RNAcentral
GAUGAACGCUGGCGGCGUGCCUAAUACAUGCAAGUCGAGCGAACAGACGAGGAGCUUGCUCCUCUGACGUUAGCGGCGGACGGGUGAGUAACACGUGGAUAACCUACCUAUAAGACUGGGAUAACUUCGGGAAACCGGAGCUAAUACCGGAUAAUAUAUUGAACCGCAUGGUUCACUAGUGAAAGACGGUUUUGCUGUCACUUAUAGAUGGAUCCGCGCCGCAUUAGCUAGUUGGUAAGGUAACAGCUUACCAAGGCGACGAUGCGUAGCCGACCUGAGAGGGUGAUCGGCCACACUGGAACUGAGACACGGUCCAGACUCCUACGGGAGGCAGCAGUAGGGAAUCUUCCGCAAUGGGCGAAAGCCUGACGGAGCAACGCCGCGUGAGUGAUGAAGGUCUUCGGAUCGUAAAACUCUGUUAUUAGGGAAGAACAAAUGUGUAAGUAACUAUGCACGUCUUGACGGUACCUAAUCAGAAAGCCACGGCUAACUACGUG